GGAUUAGGCAUGCAAGUCGAACGAGGAAGUGCCCCGUAAGGGGCGCAAGCCUAGUGGCGAAAGGGUGAGUAAUGCAUUGAUAACCUGCCUUUGAGAUGGGAAUAACUGCGUUUCGAGCAAUCGGAACUACCGAAAGGGCUGCUAAUACCCAAUAAUACUAUAGGUGCAAAAGCACUUGUGGUCAAAUGCUAGGAAUUCUGUUCCUUGUGCUUAAAGAGGGGUUAAUGUCCUAUCAGCUAGUUGGUGGGGUAAUGGCCUACCAAGGCAAAGACGGGUAGCCGGCUUGAGAGGGUGGUCGGCCACACUGGGACUGAGACACUGCCCAGACUCCUACGGGAGGCUGCAGUCGAGAAUCUUUCGCAAUGCCCGAAAGGGUGACGAAGCGACGCCGCGUGUGGGAAGAAGGCCUUCGGGUUGUAAACCACUGUCGGGAGUUAGGAAAUGCAGGUGCGUUAAUAGCGCACUUGCUUGACUAAGGCUCCAGAGGAAGCCACGGCUAACUCUGUGCCAGCAGCCGCGGUAAUACAGAGGCGGCAAGCGUUGUUCGGAAUUAUUGGGCGUAAAGAGCACGUAGGCGGCCUUGCAAGUCAGUUGUGAAAGCCUUCCGCUUAACGGAAGAACGGCAUCUGAUACUACAGGGCUUGAGUACGGGAGGGGAGAGUGGAACUUCUGGUGGAGCGGUGAAAUGCGUAGAUAUCAGAAGGAACGCCGGCGGCGAAAGCGACUCUCUGGUCCGAAACUGACGCUGAGUGUGCGAAAGCUAGGGGAGCAAACGGGAUUAGAUACCCCGGUAGAUCCUAGCCGUAAACGAUGGGCACUAAGUAGAGGGGUUUU
Molecule: ribosomal RNA, 834 nt
Filed under: uncultured bacterium
Lineage: Bacteria
Description: bacterial SSU rRNA
Rfam family: Bacterial small subunit ribosomal RNA
Source: RNAcentral